This 57-nucleotide transfer RNA is filed under the name Neotoma lepida (desert woodrat). It matches the Rfam family "tRNA", at positions 9 to 63 of the family's 71-position model. Rfam says of the family: Transfer RNA (tRNA) molecules are approximately 80 nucleotides in length. Their secondary structure includes four short double-helical elements and three loops (D, anti-codon, and T loops). Lineage: Eukaryota; Metazoa; Chordata; Mammalia; Rodentia; Cricetidae. The record is from Rfam by way of RNAcentral.
AACUCAGUCAGUAGAGCAUGAGACUCUUAAUCUCAGGGUCAUGGGUUUGAGCCCCAU